GGGCUUAAGAGUAUAGAGCAAAUAAAGCAAUAUGAUAAGGUGUUUAAGAUUUUUAAGAUGCAGGUUAGACACUUGGCUAGUUACCCCCUCGACAGAGGGGGGUGUCCAGGCCCUAACAAUUUUGUGCCAGCGUUAGCGGUUAUACAAGGGGGCGGUUUUAUAUAAGUGGUUAGUUGCCAAAAUAAUUUAGAGGUGAAAUUUGAGGAGUUGUGUUGGCAUGGGGAGUGUUUAAAUGAUAAGGAUUAGAUACCCUUGUAAUGAAUACAGUUAUCACUGGGGGUUAAAUUUAGUAAUUAUGGCGGUUGGGGUUUAAUAGGGGGGCCUGGGAGUAGAAACUAAACUUGGGUGAGGGAAUCCUAGUUACUUCUUGUGUGAUCGUUCAAACCACUGUUGGUUUGGGGUAGAUAAACAUAGGGGAUAGGGUUUAUUCUGCGGGUUUGAAUUUGCAAUAGGGAGUACCUUCAAGCAACAAACUUAUAAGUAAGGAAAGGAAAUGAAUUUAUUGCCUCAAAGUACAUAUCGCCCGUCAGCGCCUUUAGGGCGUAAGUCGUAACAUAGUGGGCCUACUGGAAGGUGGGUCUUGCUAU
Molecule: ribosomal RNA, 587 nt
Filed under: Hebesoma violentum
Lineage: Eukaryota; Metazoa; Acanthocephala; Eoacanthocephala; Neoechinorhynchida; Neoechinorhynchidae
Description: 12S ribosomal RNA
Source: RNAcentral